This 1652-nucleotide long non-coding RNA is filed under the name Medicago truncatula (barrel medic). Its description in RNAcentral is "long non-coding RNA (MTRU_LNC007674)". The record is from RNAcentral. Lineage: Eukaryota; Viridiplantae; Streptophyta; Magnoliopsida; Fabales; Fabaceae.
UUGAAUUAUUUAGGAGAUUGGGGAAUAAUUAGAAAUUAAUAGUAAUAAGGGAGGUUUUAAUGAAAAAGGGGGAGUUAUAGUUUUGGGAGUAAAAGGAAAGAAUAAGGAUAAAGUCAGAAACGGUUUAACGUGAAAACAAGUUGAGAGGAGAAAAAGCUAAGGCAAGGAGAGAAGACCAAGAGAGAAGAACUUAGGAACGGAUUUGCUGUGCUUUUUGUCUCUGCAAUUCUAAGGUAAGGGUGAGAUUAUCUUUCAAUAAUCUAAUGUAUAAUUUCUGAAAAUUAAUCUAAUGGAAUAGUUCUUGGAGAUAAAAUAGAGAAUUAGGGUAUAAUGCUGAUUUUGAAAGAAAAGGUGUAAGAAUCAUGUUGAUGUAAAGUAGUUUGAUGUUUUGUAUGAUUUCUUAAUCUGUAAUGUUGCUAUGUUCAGAAUUGGAAUGAAAUUAGGGAUGAUUGAAUGAAUUGAGAAAGUUUUGUAUGAAUGUUGGAAUGAGUUGGAUUGAUGUUGUUAAUGCAUAAUUUGUGUUCCUUUCGGUGCCUAGUUGUGUAUAGGACCUGUAAACAUUGCUGGAAAACGUUUUGGGUGACCAGGGGAUUAAAAUUGGGUUUUUGGAGUGAAGAGAUGUCUGAAAUCGUAAGUUUUCAUCCUGCCCAGAUGAGUGAUCGCUUAAGCGAACAUCCCAUCGCUUAAGCGAGCGAUCAAGAUCGCUGCCUAGAAUUUGUUGAAGCCAGGUCGCUUGAGCGACCCGUGAGCGAGCCGUAAGCGAAGAACACUUUUAGAUACGACAUUGUGUUCGCUCAAGCGAACUGUGAGCGAACCGUGAGCGAGCGAGAACCUCAACCUUUUGUGUGCUGGUCGCUUAAGCGAGCUACCCUUCGCUUAAGCGAACUGAGCCUUAGUCAGCCUUUUUCUGAACCUUGCUUCGUGCACUAGGGGACCCUUUUGAGUAUUUUUAAAUGUUUCUUUUAGCUUGUAUAACUCUUGUAUAGGCAUCAAAUCCUACUUAAACACGAUGUUAAUUGAUUGGUUAAUUUUAUGAAUUUUGGAGAUGUUGAAGUACUUGAAUCAAGUGAAUAAACAUGUUGCAUUAAGGGGUGGUGAGUCAUAUAAGUACAUAUGCAUUUGUUGUUGAGUUGUAUGUAGAUAUACACAAGUGGAGUCGGUGCAUAAGCAUAAAAUGGUGAGGACCUCGGUCCUGGAACGCCUUGUCGUUCAAAGCGGUGGAACACUAUGUUGUUCAAAGCGGUGUUAAUGGGAGGACUCAUGUCCUGAUAAAAAGAAUGCUUUAACCAUUCUAUAACGGUGAGGGCCCCGGCCCUGAUAUGGUACCACAUGCAUAGUUGCAUUUGUUGAGGAGUCUUAGUGGAGUUGUCAUGUCCUGCAUGAGUCUUAGCGGUGGAGUCGAGUGGUUGCAUGAGUCGUUGUUGUUGGUUUUAGUACCAUUUGAUGUUGAUGUUGAUAAUGAUGACAUACUUAUAUAAUUGAAUGAAUUAUUAUGAUGAUAGGGUGUUAGAUUCAUUGAUGUUAUUAUAUAUUAAUAUUAUUGUUUGAGAAUCUCACCCCUUCUGCUUGAAAAUGUUGCCCUUCCUAUGGAUAACUUGCAGGUGAUCCUGAGUAGUAGGUGGUGGCUCAAAGUGUCUAGGGCUCUGAUACGU